This 465-nucleotide ribosomal RNA is filed under the name uncultured Klebsiella sp. Its description in RNAcentral is "bacterial SSU rRNA". It matches the Rfam family "Bacterial small subunit ribosomal RNA", at positions 338 to 795 of the family's 1533-position model. Lineage: Bacteria; Pseudomonadati; Pseudomonadota; Gammaproteobacteria; Enterobacterales; Enterobacteriaceae. The record is from RNAcentral.
CCUACGGGAGGCUGCAGUGGGGAAUAUUGCACAAUGGGCGCAAGCCUGAUGCAGCCAUGCCGCGUGUGUGAAGAAGGCCUUCGGGUUGUAAAGCACUUUCAGCGGGGAGGAAGGCGGUGAGGUUAAUAACCUCAUCGAUUGACGUUACCCGCAGAAGAAGCACCGGCUAACUCCGUGCCAGCAGCCGCGGUAAUACGGAGGGUGCAAGCGUUAAUCGGAAUUACUGGGCGUAAAGCGCACGCAGGCGGUCUGUCAAGUCGGAUGUGAAAUCCCCGGGCUCAACCUGGGAACUGCAUUCGAAACUGGCAGGCUAGAGUCUUGUAGAGGGGGGUAGAAUUCCAGGUGUAGCGGUGAAAUGCGUAGAGAUCUGGAGGAAUACCGGUGGCGAAGGCGGCCCCCUGGACAAAGACUAACGCUCAGGUGCGAAAGCGUGGGGAGCAAACAGGAUUAGAUACCCCGGUAGUC